CAAUUACUAGAAGUACCCUAUAUGGUAGGCGACAGUUGGUGUCAGUGAGGGCCAUUUCCGUCAAACUAAGUUACAACGGCUAUUUUCGAAUCACGUAGCCGUUGGACCCAUCCAUAUCCAGAUGGCAGAUCUUCAUAAUUUACUUUCCCAGAAGCACCAACGAAGGAACAAACCACCCUAGUUUUCUAGCGCAUAUAAAGCCUUCAUCGGUAUACCCAGUAAUCUUCAAUUAACUCAUUCUCUGCAAGCAACACUAGCUUUUCCAACGCUCUUACAUCACCAGCAAAGCUUCAUCGCCAAUCUCUCUCGCUCUCGCUCUCGCUCUGGCUCUGGCUCUCGCUCGCUCUCUCUCUCUCUCUCUCUGUGAUUUUUAUUUUUCAGUAUAUAUUUUUGUUAUCUAUAAUCUCACUUUGCGUUUCGCAGGCUAGGUUCUUGUUUUUAUUUUUUAUUUCUUCUCCUCCUCCUCUCUCUCUCUCUCUCUCUCUCUCUCUCUCUCUCUCUCUCUAUAUAUAUAUAUAUAUAUAUCUAGCGUUAUGGAUGCAGGAUCUGUGGGUUCCUCUUACAAGUGCUCGUCUCGGUGCCCCCUUCAAGAACAAUUCCUUCAGAGAAAGAAUAAUCGUGAAAAUUUGGAUAGGUUCAUUCCCAAUCGCGCAGCUAUGGACUUCGAUUACGCCCAUUACAUGCUCACCGAGGCGAGGAAAGGCAAAGAGAACCCGGCUGUGAGCUCUCCCUCCAGAGACGCCUACCGGAAGAAACUUGCGGAGACCUUCAACAUGAACCGAACUCGGAUCUUGGCUUUCAAGAACAAGCCCCCAACAACAAUCGACCCGAUACCACAGGAGUUGCUUUCGUCGUACAAUCCUCAGACCAAAAUUACCAAGCCCCGGCGACACAUUCGUCAGAGUUGCGAGAGGACAUUGGAUGCUCCUGAUAUUGUGGAUGAUUUCUACUUAAAUUUACUAGACUGGGGUAGCAGCAACGUCCUCGCCAUUGCUCUCGAAAACACAGUGUACCUCUGGGAUGCCUCAAAUGGCUCUACCUCAGAACUCGUUUCAAUUGACGACGAAAGUGGUCCCGUUACGAGCGUCAGUUGGGCUCCUGAUGGCCGGCACAUCGCCAUUGGCUUAAACAAUUCCCAUGUCCAGCUUUGGGAUUCUACUGCUAAUAAACAGUUGAGGACAUUGAGAGGCGGUCACAGGCAAAGAGUCGGUUCACUGGCCUGGAACAAUCACAUCCUAACAACAGGAGGAAUGGAUGGUAAAAUAAUCAACAAUGAUGUGAGGGUGAGAUCCCACAUCGUUGAGACCUACAGGGGACACCAACAGGAGGUCUGUGGAUUAAAAUGGUCUGCCUCGGGCCAGCAAUUGGCGAGUGGAGGAAACGACAAUCUUCUCUAUGUAUGGGACAGAUCUGUGGCCUCUUCCAAUGCACCAACACAGUGGCUUCACAGGCUUGAGGAGCACUCAGCUGCUGUCAAGGCCCUGGCUUGGUGUCCAUUCCAGGGUAAUUUGCUAGCCUCUGGCGGUGGUGGGGGUGACCAUUCGAUUAAGUUCUGGAACACCCACACAGGCGCGUGCUUGAACUCGGUUAGCACAGGUUCGCAGGUUUGUGCUCUGCUAUGGAACAAGAAUGAGCGUGAAUUGCUUAGCUCUCAUGGCUUUUCCCAGAAUCAGCUCAUUCUUUGGAAAUAUCCUUCAAUGGUGAAGAUGGCGGAGCUCACUGGACAUACCUCCAGAGUUCUUUAUAUGGCACAGAGCCCGGAUGGGUGCGCAGUGGCAUCUGCAGCAGGAGACGAAACACUGAGAUUUUGGAAUGUGUUUGGGACCCCAGAAGUGGCUAAACCUGCACCUAAGGCGACAAACCCAGAGCCAUUUGCUAACGUGAACCGUAUCCGUUGAACAUCCUUAUAAGGUGGUAAUGGAUUGUUGAGCUUUAUCAUGUGAAGAAGAUUCUCUACUGAUGGUGGGAAAAAAGCAAAGACAUCUUGUGGCAAACCCUAGAAACAAGAAUAUUACUCCAAGUGCCCACCUUAACUCGUCAAAAUCUAGUGAUGAUCUGGAUGUGCAGGGAGAAGAUAGUUGGGUGAUUGUGAAAAAACAGAGGGUCACCAUUUUGGUGCCUCCUCUACCUGCUGCAAAAAAUUUGAAGACUCGAAACCUGGGACCAAGUCAGCUGGAAGCCAGACCCCAAAAAACAAGUAACCAAAUACAACCUCCAAUUGAUAUAUGUCCUAGAAUAUUGUCUGUUGAUGAAGAAGGAAAGUCCAUGUCACUGGCUCCUGAAAAGAGUAUUCAGUUUGUGAGAAAUGCUCCUUCUCAAGAUCUGCCAACAUUAACUAAGCCACCAAGUGAAGAUUUAAGAAUGGAAGCAGAAAAUACAAAUCAAGUUGGCACCUCAAAAACUUGUGAAAGAUUUGGGGUGUCUGACACCUCAAAAGCUAUCAAGCGGCCUAGGCUAUUACAUUGCCCCAGUGGCUUGAUUGAUGGGGGAAUGCUGCUAAGUCAAAAGCUGAGGGCAUCAAAUCUUGAGAUAAAACUUAAAAGAGCUGGGGGGUUGAGCAGGUGGUUGGCAUCGCUUGGACUGGAUCAGUUUGUGAGGAUUUUCCAGAGGAAGAGUGUUAAUAAAUUUCAGUUGGUAAAUUUAACAAUGAAGAAGCUCAAAGAUAUGGGUGCAAAUGCAGUGGGGCCUAGGAGGAAACUGAUACAUGCCAUUGACUGUGUUUGUCAGUCCUACUGUUUUGAGGCCAUCUGAAUGUUCAUUGGAUCUUGAAGCAAUUGGAAGAUAGGAGGAAAGACACUGUCAAAUGCAGCAGCCUAAUUAUAUUGGUCAAGGACAUGCCUGAACAAUUGGAUAUUUCAUGACAACUACUUGGGAAGAGAGAAUAUGAAACAAACUUUGCUGCUAGUAGAAGAGGCGGUGACAUUGGCACCAGAAAGCAUCUGCUGCCCUCCUGGCAACAAAGGAAGCUGCAAAACUUCCAACUUCAGAACAUCGUCAUCCAAGAAGGUGACAUAUUGCUGGGUAACAUCUGCUAUCAAGAAUGAGAGAGAGCUUAUGAUAGAAUGCAAACUUCAUCAAUCGUAGAUGAUGUUAUCCAUUCCUUAAGGUCAUUCAAGCAAUGGCACGUAUAGAAAAUUUAUUGGUUACACAACCGAUGUGCGCACUUGGUGCUGCACUAGGCCAUGCCUAAUCUCAUGACUUGCAUUCCCCUUGAUAUUUUUCCCCUUUCCCGCCAUGAACUGUAACACAUUAUUUAUUCUAUUAGUGAUAUGCUCAAAACGAGUUGUUAUUGCUUAAUGAA
Molecule: RNA transcript, 3301 nt
Organism: Juglans regia (Persian walnut)
Lineage: Eukaryota; Viridiplantae; Streptophyta; Magnoliopsida; Fagales; Juglandaceae
Gene name: cell division cycle 20.2, cofactor of APC complex-like
Exons: 6
Source: RefSeq, a predicted model, not a curated record